UAGCGGAGGAAAAGAAACCAACUGGGAUUGCCUUAGUAACGGCGAGUGAAGCGGCAAAAGCUCAAAUUUGAAAUCUGGUACCUUUGGUGCCCGAGUUGUAAUUUGGAGAGUACCACUUUGGGACUGUACUUUGCCUAUGUUCCUUGGAACAGGACGUCAUGGAGGGUGAGAAUCCCGUGUGGCGAGGGUGUCAGUUCUUUGUAAAGGGUGCUCGAAGAGUCGAGUUGUUUGGGAAUGCAGCUCUAAGUGGGUGGUAAAUUCCAUCUAAAGCUAAAUACAGGCGAGAGACCGAUAGCGAACAAGUACAGUGAUGGAAAGAUGAAAAGAACUUUGAAAAGAGAGUGAAAAAGUACGUGAAAUUGUUGAAAGGGAAGGGCAUUUGAUCAGACAUGGUGUUUUGCGCCCCUUGCCUCUCGUGGGCUUGGGACUCUCGCAGCUCACUGGGCCAGCAUCGGUUUUGGCGGCCGGAAAAAACCUAGGGAAUGUGGCUCUGCGCCUCGGUGUAGAGUGUUAUAGCCCUGGGGAAUACGGCCAGUCGGGACCGAGGACUGCGAUACUUGUUAUCUAGGAUGCUGGCAUAAUGGUUAUAUGCCGCCCGUCUUGAAACACGGACCA
RNAcentral lists this ribosomal RNA (615 nucleotides) under Nakaseomyces glabratus. RNAcentral's name for it is "eukaryotic LSU rRNA". It matches the Rfam family "Eukaryotic large subunit ribosomal RNA", at positions 48 to 668 of the family's 3401-position model. The record is from RNAcentral. Lineage: Eukaryota; Fungi; Ascomycota; Saccharomycetes; Saccharomycetales; Saccharomycetaceae.